AUUGAACGCUGGCGGCAGGCUUAACACAUGCAAGUCGAGCGGGGUGAUGGUGCUUGCACUAUCACUUAGCGGCGGACGGGUGAGUAAUGCUUAGGAAUCUGCCUAUUAGUGGGGGACAACAUCUCGCAAGGGAUGCUAAUACCGCAUACGUCCUACGGGAGAAAGCAGGGGAUCACUUGUGACCUUGCGCUAAUAGAUGAGCCUAAGUCGGAUUAGCUAGUUGGUGGGGUAAAGGCCUACCAAGGCGACGAUCUGUAGCGGGUCUGAGAGGAUGAGCUGCGACCCAGGGCUGAGCGCACGGACAAGACUCCAACGGGGGGAAGCAAUGGGGGAUAUUGGAAAAAGGGGGGAACCCUGAUCCAGCCAUGCCGCGUGUGUGAAGCAGGCCUUAUGGUUGUAAAGCACUUUAAGCGAGGAGGAGGCUUACCUAGUUAAUACCUGGGAUAAGUGGACGUUACUCGCAGAAUAAGCACCGGCUAACUCUGUGCCAGCAGCCGCCGUAA
RNAcentral lists this ribosomal RNA (503 nucleotides) under uncultured bacterium. RNAcentral's name for it is "partial 16S ribosomal RNA". It matches the Rfam family "Bacterial small subunit ribosomal RNA", at positions 30 to 523 of the family's 1533-position model. The record is from RNAcentral.